GACGAACGCUGGCGGCGUGCUUAACACAUGCAAGUCGAACGGAAAGGCCCUGCUUUUGUGGGGUGCUCGAGUGGCGAACGGGUGAGUAACACGUGAGUAACCUGCCCUUGACUUUGGGAUAACUUCAGGAAACUGGGGCUAAUACCGGAUAGGAGCUCCUGCUGCAUGGUGGGGGUGGGAAAGUUUCGGCGGUUGGGGAUGGACUCGCGGCUUAUCAGCUUGUUGGUGGGGUAGUGGCUUACCAAGGCUUUGACGGGUAGCCGGCCUGAGAGGGUGACCGGCCACCUUGGGACUGAGAUACGGCCCAGACUCCUACGGGAGGCAGCAGUGGGGAGUAUUGCACAAUGGGCGGAAGCCUGAUGCAGCAACGCCGCGUGCGGGAUGACGGCCUUCGGGUUGUAAACCGCUUUCGCCUGUGACGAAGCGUGAGUGACGGUAAUGGGUAAAGAAGCACCGGCUAACUACGUG
Molecule: ribosomal RNA, 468 nt
Filed under: uncultured bacterium
Lineage: Bacteria
Description: partial 16S ribosomal RNA
Rfam family: Bacterial small subunit ribosomal RNA
Source: RNAcentral